Corticium candelabrum is the source of this 1528-nucleotide long non-coding RNA. RefSeq lists it as uncharacterized. Lineage: Eukaryota; Metazoa; Porifera; Homoscleromorpha; Homosclerophorida; Plakinidae. The record is from RefSeq and is a predicted model, not a curated record. The transcript is spliced from 9 exons.
UUGCGCAAUCUUCUUGUCUUUGUUCGCAUGCUAUUCGUGGACACAAGCACACGGUGGUUGGACGGAGCGUGUCAGACAUCGUCGACGGUCGGUUCUCCCGUUUCUAGAACACGGACUGACGUCCUACUGUCAGCAGUCUCUUUGUCUCCGUCACCUAUAACGACAGGACAGACGGAGGUGUCGCUGGAAGACGACAGAUUGCGUGCUUUGUGGACGGAUAACUUGCCCACUACCACUAUGGAUUGUUCAGUGGCUUCUUCAGAGAUGUCUGACAAGGGCAGCGCAAUGGGAGAAACGGAAAAAAUUUCAUACGGACAGUGAAUGGUUGGGUACAUACAUUGAAGAUAUUGAUGAGUUUGGAUCAUGUGUUGACUCGUAUGAUCCCAUUGUUCCAAAGGAGCGACAUCCUUAUUUGGAGCAAUACUUCGAACAACAGCUGCUGCUUACUCUCUCUUGUAUCUACCAUUCUCACACUUCGUUGAAUUGUUUCAACGACCACAAGCUCAUCGUGGAUCAUUUGGAAUGCGACAAAUGAAUGCAUUGAACGUCUAGAAAAGUGACAAGACGAGCCACCCAAGUACUACUACAAACAGGUAUUGAGCAUGUCGAAGAUUGGGAGAAAGCACAACAAGUGGAAACCGAAUCAAUGCAGACGAUGCGGUGAAAGUGGUCUCUUUGGUAAUGAACAGAUGAUCGCAACGUUCCAAAGGAGCGACAUCCUUAUUUGGAGCAAUACUUCGAACAACAGCUGCUGCUUACUCUCUCUUGUAUCUACCAUUCUCACACUUCUUUGAAUUGUUUCAACGACCACAAGCUCAUCGUGGAUCAUUUGGAAUGCGACAAAUGAAUGCAUUGAACGUCUAGAAAAGUGACAAGACGAGCCACCCAAGUACUACUACAAACAGGUAUUGAGCAUGUCGAAGGGUGGGAGAAAGCACAACAAGUGGAAACCGAAUCAAUGCAGACGAUGUGGUGAAAGUGGUCUCUUCGAUAAUGAACAGCUGCCAUACCUUCAGUGACUGUGUUCAACAAGAAUGGAUUGACCAACAAAUUUUUUUGUUCUCAAAUUUCCAACAAUCCCAACAACAUAGUCAAGAUCUUGAUGCUUGCUCUUAACUCCCAACCUGUAGCAAUGACGGACUUUCUAUUUUAAAUAGCAGUACCAAAGGCAUUCCAGUUGAACAUGCAGUCACCAUUCACCAUUCAGGAAUGUAAUUUCGUCUUCUAAUUUUGGCAGCAUGACGCAAAUUAUUCACGUUGCGCAUCCUCAUCAGCAACAGUUGAGGAUAAGACUGCGGAUUUCAUACAGUGUGGAUGGAUCCUCUGUGACUGAACAAGGUGAGAUUGGCGAAUUUCCACCAGAAGUUUCUUAGUAUUGUGAGUAAGGGUGACUGUUAGUUUAUACUGCUAGUCGAUCAUCUUGCUUGUUGUGUGACUGUUGUUGUGUUUUGAGGUCAAUUUGUUGUAGAUUAUUGGGUAGAUGGUACUUGUAGCUUGGCAGCUGUUGUCAAUAAAGUGUCAAUAAAGU